UAUAAUAUAAUAUUUGUUGCUGCCUUGUUCUAUAUAAAUGUUUCUAACAUGCAGGUAACAUUUAUAUAUGUAUUAGUUUGAAUAAAUCAUUUUAAUAAAGUUACAUUAUAGGCAGGAAUGUUUGUCUGGAAAUAUAAACGAUGUUGUACAUAAUGCAGAUAGCUUAGGCAAAAAAGAGAUUGGUGAAAUGGAGAAUGAGACUAACUAGGGUGAAAAAAAAUGAAUAUUAAUAUGUGAAUGGUACUUUGUUUAACAUCUACCUGUUUCUACAGAUACAGUACAGACGCAUUUAUAAAUGGGCUUGAUGUUUUUUUGAAUUAAAUAUGUUGUAUUGA
Long non-coding RNA from Hydra vulgaris (swiftwater hydra), 335 nucleotides. RefSeq lists it as uncharacterized. The record is from RefSeq and is a predicted model, not a curated record. NCBI's taxonomy places the organism in Eukaryota, Metazoa, Cnidaria, Hydrozoa, Anthoathecata, Hydridae.